ACCAGUAGCGCCAUCCGUCUGGAUUGUGGAUGGAGAACGGACUCACAAAU
RNAcentral lists this small RNA (50 nucleotides) under Sinorhizobium meliloti 2011. RNAcentral describes it as "putative ncRNA". The record is from RNAcentral. Lineage: Bacteria; Pseudomonadati; Pseudomonadota; Alphaproteobacteria; Hyphomicrobiales; Rhizobiaceae.